RNAcentral lists this ribosomal RNA (465 nucleotides) under uncultured bacterium. Its description in RNAcentral is "partial 16S ribosomal RNA". It matches the Rfam family "Bacterial small subunit ribosomal RNA", at positions 28 to 507 of the family's 1533-position model. The record is from RNAcentral.
GACGAACGCUGGCGGCGUGCUUAACACAUGCAAGUCGAACGGAAAGGCCCUGCUUGCAGGGUACUCGAGUGGCGAACGGGUGAGUAACACGUGGGUGAUCUGCCCUGCACUUCGGGAUAAGCCUGGGAAACUGGGUCUAAUACCGGAUAGGAGCCAUUUUUAGUGUGAUGGUUGGAAAGUUUUUUCGGUGUAGGAUGAGCUCGCGGCCUAUCAGCUUGUUGGUGGGGUAAUGGCCUACCAAGGCGGCGACGGGUAGCCGGCCUGAGAGGGUGGACGGCCACAGUGGGACUGAGAUACGGCCCAGACUCCGACGGGAGGCAGCAGGGGGGAAUAUUGCACAAUGGGCGCAAGCCUGAUGCAGCGACGCCGCGUGGGGGAUGACGGCCUUCGGGUUGUAAACUCCUUUCGCUAGGGACGAAGCUUUUUGUGACGGUACCUAGAGAAGAAGCACCGGCUAACUACGUG